Long non-coding RNA from Nomascus leucogenys (northern white-cheeked gibbon), 3813 nucleotides. RefSeq lists it as uncharacterized. The record is from RefSeq and is a predicted model, not a curated record. NCBI's taxonomy places the organism in Eukaryota, Metazoa, Chordata, Mammalia, Primates, Hylobatidae. The transcript has 2 exons.
UUUUUCAUAUAUAAUAAAACUCCAUUUGCUCUGUAGGCAAUGGCCUUUAUUUAGAAUCUUUGGAAAUAUCUUAUACAUACAAACAUUCAGCAGUUUUAUUCUUCCUGGCUUACUUCCCUCUCAUGCUAAUUCCAAUUAGUGAUAUCAUUACUAUACUGAAAUGGCCCAAAUGAUGAGGCCAAAUAUAAGAACACUAUUUCUUUCACAAAUUUCCAUCUUCAUAGCCUCUCAGCUUGUCAGUAAGUUCUGAGGCAAAAAUAUCUUUCUGGAAAGGCAAUUACUUAUUAGUCAUGUGAGCAGAGACAGAACCAAUUAUGACAAGUCCUAGUUCUAUCAAUUUAGUGCAGUAAGAAGUAUAAAGCAUCAUAAUUCCUUCAUCAAUAUACUUUUACUAGCAUGACCUAAAAGGAUAAUGUAUAAAGAAACACAACAACAAUGUAUUUUCUCAAAAUGUGUAUUUAAUGGCCAUUCCAUCAAAAUAAAGCAGAAUCCCAUUUCAAAACUAUUAUAUGUAUAUAUAUUUUUAAGGUGCAUUUUCAAGUUUUAUUUGAGUUUCAUUUCUUCUUGGCUUGCCUGAGGUGUUCUUGCAGGUACAAUUAACACAAAAUGUUCUGAGGUUGGUAGCUUUUCAUGCACUGAAGAAUGAGAUCCUAACAACAUUGCACAUCUUGGAUACAUUAGAAAUUUUAAAAGCCAUGUUUAAUUUCAGAAAACUUAAUACCAUCAUGAAAGACAUUUUCAACACAAAAUUUAGGCACUCUAUACUUUGGAAUAGCCAUGAAAUAUUCCAACAAGAGUUAAUGCACUUUGUGAUUACAUCUACUCAAAGAUAAUUCUCAGUUAAAAUCUAUACUUAUUAAAUAACAUUUUAAACUAGAGCCCAUUAAAUUUUGAUAAUUACUGUGAAAUAUUUGCAGCAUUGUGUUGUAGUUAAAUAAUGCUGAACUACUUCUAUUACUGACUCUAGUACUCAUCCUUCAUGGUUUUUUUCUUUUUCGAGACAGAGUCUUGCUGUGUCACCCAGGCUGGAGUGCAGUGGCACGAACUUGGCUCACUGCAACCUCUGCCUCCCAGGUUCAAGCAAUUCUCCUUCUUCAACCUCCUGAGUAGCUGGGAUUACAGGCGCCUGCCACUGCACCCGGCUAAUUUUUGUAUUUUUAGUAGAGACAGGGUUUCACCAUGUUGGCCAGGCUGGUCUUGAACUGCUGACCUCAUGAUUCGCCUGCCUUGGCCUCCCAAAGUGCUGGGAUUACAGGCGUGAGCCACUGCACCCGGCCAUGGUACUUUUAAAAACAGAGGACUUUAUAGCAUCCAGCAGUAAGCAUCUCUCCCUUUUUCUUGCUAAUAUAUGAAUAAGAUUGCCAAUAAUCAACUUAAAGGUAUUCUUGUGUUUUCUGCUGUAGUUGAUUUCUUAGCAUGCAAGACUUCAGCAAAUGGGAGUCUCCUUGGAGAUCAGGAAACAUCAGCCAUGCAUGUUCAUCACAGAUUCCUAGGCUCAAUUCAUCUGCUCACUUUGCAGCUAAGUAUGUUGCUCCAUUAGGUUCCUGCAGUCCGUGCUGCUGGACUGACUGCUAUGGAGGUAAAGGGAAAGAUAAUCAAAUAUGUCACCCACUUUGCACAAGGCCAAGGCCAAGGCCAAGGCCACCUAGACCUUGUCUGACUUGAGACAAAACUUGCUGAUCUCUGUAGUGUGGUUCUGGGACUUCUACCUCCUUUUCCUAAGACCGAGGGAUGGGAGUGAUGCCUACCUACUGAAAUGCCAUUAAUUCCAGGUGAUCUUUCUGGACUUGAAUGUAAUUUAUCACUGUUAGAAUUCAGAACAUGUAUGCUAGUUGUUCCUGUUGAGAAUAAGGUUAUUUGCUUAGUGGUAUGCAUUUACAUGGCACAGAAAACAAUUAGUAUUUCAGAAUUUUUAGAAGAUUACAGUCUGUAAAUUGACUCAUCAAAAUCACCAAUGACUAGUAUAUAAAGAUCUAUCCAGAGAAAUGAAUUUGAGACUUAUUUGACUAUAAGUCAUACAGAAGAGAGCACAGUAAUUUCCCAUAGGAGAAUCUGGUAUUUCAUCUUGGGGAUCACUGGUAAAUUAAUUACACUGCUAAUGUUUUCUUGCUUACUUGAAGAGACAAUUAGCAUAAGUAAAUCAAGAGUGAGAUGACAAGUUGCUUAACAUUUGUUUCUGUCCAUUGGAUGAGAUCUGAGGUUGCCGUUAAGCCUCGGUGUGAGUAGGGGAUAGGGAGAGAAGAGUAUAAGGAAAGAGAAGUUAACUCCAGUUUUGGUAAAUAUAAUCAGAACCAGUUGGUUAAAAUCAGAAUACUGGGCUGGGUGCAGUGGCUCAUGCCUGGAAUCCCAGCACUUUGGGAGGCCAAGGCAGGCAGAUCACCUGAGGUCAGAAGUUCAAGACCAGCCUGGCCCACCUGGGGAAACUCCGUCUCUACUAAAAGUACAAAAAUAAGCCCGGCGUGGUGAUGCAUGCCUGUAAUCCCAGCUACCUGGGAGGCUGAGGCAGGAGAAUCGCUCCAACCUGGGAGGCCAAGGUUGCAGUGAGCCAAGAUUGCGCCAUUGCACUCCAGCCUGGGUGACAGAGUGAGACUCUGUCUCAAAAAAAGAAAAAAAGAGAUCAGAACACUGAAAUUAAAUGCAAAACAGGUAGACUCAUUUAAGUUUUAGAAAUCAACCUCACCAACAGGUGACAGGAACUGGGAAACAUUAGGAGAUGAUUGUUGAUUCGGGAAAUUCACAUGAAACCUCAGCCAUUUCUCCUGAGCGGAGGGGACAAGAAAUAAGAAUGAAGGUGCAUUUUAGUUGAGGGUGCUUUUCAUACCCACUCAGAACUUCAUCUGCCUGUCGAUAUUCUAAGCAACAACAUCUAUCUUGUGAUCAGGCCCGAGGCUCAUGACAGCACAGUUAAGGUUACAGUCCCUCUCUGGUGUUUUAGAAUGGCGACUGCUUGCUCAUGAGUAACACCUUCCAGGGUCUCGCCAUUAACAGCUAAAAUUUGAUCCCCUCGUUUUAAUCGGCCGUCAUCUGCAGCUGCUCCCUACAAACAAGAAACAUUCCAGUUUAAUCCAGGGUAAAACACAGUUUAUAUUAAAUUAAUAGUAAAACCUCUAACUUCUGUCUGGUGUGCAUAUUAAAAGAGUAACUUUAAAAACUACCAAUUAAAGAUUUUUCUAGGUAAUGUUUUAAACUAGGAAAAAUGUAAGAUAUGCUGUUUGAAUAAUAAUGGUUGAAUAGUAACUAUAAUUAUGGAUAAUCUAAAUAACAUACUAGUAGAAAUGUACUGAUACACUUCUUUCAAUAGAAGUAGAACCUUAUUUCACUAUUUAGUAUUAAAUGGAAUUGGAUGUCAUAUCAUGUCUUAUUCAUGAAAAUGUAAUAUACAAAAAAAGGCAGAUAGAAUUGAAUCUGGUGUUAGUCUUACUGCAAAUACCACCAUUAUACAGAGUUCCCAUUGCAUUAUUAAGCUAUCAGCACUGUGAUCUGUCAAAAAUAAGUGUAGUCUUUAAAUGGGUGAAUUGUAUGGUAAGUGAAUUAUAUCUCAGUGAAGCUGUUAUCUAUAUAUAAAUAUAUACAAGUGUAGCAUCUCUAAAAUUUUGUAAUAUCAUAUUCAAAACCUUCCACUUGAUCUUUGAUCAUCUAAAUAGGUUUCUAAAUGACUACUGUUAUUAUAUACUCAGUCAUGCAUGGCUCCUCAAAACGGCACAAAGCCAGUGAAACUUCGGGGUUUUUUCACUCUAAAGCUGCAUAUCUAAAAAUGCCACGAUAUUACUAGAAACAUUUUGGACUGGUAAGGGAAGAAGAGACCUUAAAAAA